GACGAACGCUGGCGGCGUGCUUAACACAUGCAAGUCGAGCGGUAAGGCCUCUUCGGGGGUACACGAGCGGCGAACGGGUGAGUAACACGUGGGUGACCUGCCCUCAGCUCUGGGAUAAGCCUGGGAAACUGGGUCUAAUACCGGAUAUGACCUUUCCUCGCAUGGGGUUUGGUGGAAAGUUUUUUCGGCUGGGGAUGGGCCCGCGGCCUAUCAGCUUGUUGGUGGGGUGAUGGCCUACCAAGGCGACGACGGGUAGCCGGCCUGAGAGGGCGACCGGCCACACUGGGACUGAGACACGGCCCAGACUCCUACGGGAGGCAGCAGUGGGGAAUAUUGCGCAAUGGGCGGAAGCCUGACGCAGCGACGCCGCGUGGGGGAUGACGGCCUUCGGGUUGUAAACCUCUUUCGACCCCGACGAAUUUGGUCGGUAGGGGUAGAAGAAGCACCGGCCAACUACGUG
This 460-nucleotide ribosomal RNA is filed under the name uncultured bacterium. RNAcentral's name for it is "partial 16S ribosomal RNA". It matches the Rfam family "Bacterial small subunit ribosomal RNA", at positions 28 to 507 of the family's 1533-position model. The record is from RNAcentral.